This 393-nucleotide ribosomal RNA is filed under the name uncultured bacterium. Its description in RNAcentral is "partial 16S ribosomal RNA". It matches the Rfam family "Bacterial small subunit ribosomal RNA", at positions 523 to 918 of the family's 1533-position model. The record is from RNAcentral.
AUACGGAGGAUCCGAGCGUUAUCCGGAUUUAUUGGGUUUAAAGGGAGCGUAGGCGGAUUAUUAAGUCAGUUGUGAAAGUUUGCGGCUCAACCGUAAAAUUGCAGUUGAUACUGGUAGUCUUGAGUGCAGCAGAGGUAGGCGGAAUUCGUGGUGUAGCGGUGAAAUGCUUAGAUAUCACGAAGAACUCCGAUUGCGAAGGCAGCUUACUGGACUGUAACUGACGCUGAUGCUCGAAAGUGUGGGUAUCAAACAGGAUUAGAUACCCUGGUAGUCCACACAGUAAACGAUGAAUACUCGCUGUUUGCGAUAUACAGCAAGCGGCCAAGCGAAAGCAUUAAGUAUUCCACCUGGGGAGUACGCCGGCAACGGUGAAACUCAAAGGAAUUGGCGGGG